This 450-nucleotide ribosomal RNA is filed under the name uncultured bacterium. RNAcentral describes it as "partial 16S ribosomal RNA". It matches the Rfam family "Bacterial small subunit ribosomal RNA", at positions 354 to 796 of the family's 1533-position model. The record is from RNAcentral.
GUGGGGAAUAUUGGACAAUGGGCGAAAGCCUGAUCCAGCCAUGCCGCGUGUGUGAAGAAGGUCUUCGGAUUGUAAAGCACUUUAAGUUGGGAGGAAGGGCAGUAAGUUAAUACCUUGCUGUUUUGACGUUACCGACAGAAUAAGCACCGGCUAACUUCGUGCCAGCAGCCGCGGUAAUACGAAGGGUGCAAGCGUUAAUCGGAAUUACUGGGCAUAAAGCGCGCGUAGGUGGUUCAGUAAGUUGGAAGUGAAAUCCCCGGGCUCAACCUGGGAACUGCUUUCAAAACUGCUGAGCUAGAGUACGGUAGAGGGUGGUGGAAUUUCCUGUGUAGCGGUGAAAUGCGUAGAUAUAGGAAGGAACACCAGUGGCGAAGGCGACCACCUGGACUGAUACUGACACUGAGGUGCGAAAGCGUGGGGAGCAAACAGGAUUAGAAACCCCGGUAGUCC